CCCAGAAAAGCCAGCAAUAAAGAGGACAUAAAUGUGCAUAGAUCAGAUCAACAUGUUAUACAAAAAAGAAAGUAGAAGAAAGUCACCAUCCGCAGUUUAAUGCACCAAAUUUAAGUCGCUAUCAUUUUGUAAGUAGCCAAGAGGUUGCGAACAAAGCUCUAUUCAAAGUUCAAAGAAUACUUCUGAACUAGUCAACAUAAAAGGCGGUGAUGAAUCAUCUAUGGUUUGGAAAGUUAAGCGACGACCAGAUGGAUCUCGGUACAUUGUGAAACGACCGGUGCGUAAUCGCACAAUUCAAAAAAAUAUUCGGGGAAAUGAGCUACCUACUGAAGAGGAAACAAUAUCAGAAGAGAAAAUUGGUCGUUGUUGGACAAAGGAUGAACGGAAAAGGCAUAUAGAACGGGCACGAGAGCGG
Molecule: long non-coding RNA, 415 nt
Organism: Drosophila ananassae
Lineage: Eukaryota; Metazoa; Arthropoda; Insecta; Diptera; Drosophilidae
Exons: 2
Source: RefSeq, a predicted model, not a curated record